Long non-coding RNA from Mercenaria mercenaria, 1135 nucleotides. RefSeq lists it as uncharacterized. The record is from RefSeq and is a predicted model, not a curated record. NCBI's taxonomy places the organism in Eukaryota, Metazoa, Mollusca, Bivalvia, Venerida, Veneridae. The transcript is spliced from 2 exons.
UGUCUGUAAAAAGAAACCUGUCAAACGGUGAUAUUGUUCUAGUACAUGAUGAUAAUCUAGCAAGAAAUAAUUGGAAAAUAGGGCGAGUACAGGAGGUGUUCAAAGACUCGGAUGGACUUGUACGUAAGGUAAGACUUGCUUUGGGUACGGCUUGUUUGGACAAAACUGGUAAGCGCAAUAAUCCUAUUGUGUAUAUGGAAAGACCAAUCCACAAGUUAGUGUUGUUGAAGGAAACCGAGGAGAUCCCCGUCGAGGAGCCUUGUUAACAGGUAGUGUAUAUGUAUGUAACAGUCUGCCUUUCCAUCUACGAGCACACAGUACAUGUAUAUAGAUUUAUUCAGGAUACUAAGAAUAGUAAGAUCUUUAACAAUGUUAAAAUGUCAGACAAUUUUUAAUGUUGUUGCUUUAUUCACAGAGUUAAUAAAAAAAAAAAUGCAGCUUCUGUUAUUUUCCAGCUGGAUUUAUAAUAAUAAUAUAUCUAUGUCAUUGUAGAAGUAUAUUUAAGCACUGUACUCUAAUUUUGAUAAAUACAUAUAGACUCUAUACAAUAUUCAAUAGAAUAUUAAAACAUGAUUUCAUUUUGUUUUUCAGUACAUUAUAAUGAUUAAUUGUCUGCUAACUAUUUUUGCAUGUUCAGAUUUAAAUGCUGUUCUUGGUGCUAUUUUGUAUUUUUGUAUUUUUUUGUGUGUAAUUUUUGUGUAAUUGACUUCACUUGUAAUUGUCAAGGUACCCUUGUAGUGUAUUUUUAUGUAAUUAAGUGUUUACCUGUAAUUGUUAAUGUUUGAUUGUGGCAAUGUAGACAACAAUGUACGCAGACAUACAUUUAUUCCAUAUUGUAUUCUAUGUCAAACUGAAGUUACAAAACCAAUGUGCAUAUUGUUUCUCUUUUGUAUUCAAAUUUGCAUCAAAUGCCAAUUUGGGGGAGCCAUGUAACUGCUGUGAUGAUAACGUCAUCUGCGACGAUUUAUUCGUAACUGUAAUUGUUUUAGUCCGGUUCUUUUUGCGGCAUGGGAAACGUUAUUUAAACGUUAGUUUAUUAAAAUUAGAAACUUUGCGUCUUGCGAACCCAAAGAGUUUGACGGAUUUGUGAUGUGACCAAAUGAUAGAUUCUGAAUGAUUAAACAUCAUAAAAUUC